Long non-coding RNA from Gossypium raimondii (Peruvian cotton), 572 nucleotides. RefSeq lists it as uncharacterized. The transcript is spliced from 2 exons. NCBI's taxonomy places the organism in Eukaryota, Viridiplantae, Streptophyta, Magnoliopsida, Malvales, Malvaceae. The record is from RefSeq and is a predicted model, not a curated record.
UCCUAUUGCUAUCGUCAAAGAAAGUGACUUUUAUAAAAGAACCCACGGCUAAUUGGGACUUUACUCACUCUUACUUGGAUGAGCAUCAUCCAAACUCAGAGAAUCUUACGUAUCUACAGCUUCUUCCCCUUCCAACACAGGGCCAGAGGAGAGAAAGGUUUUGGUUGUAGGUUGGUAUGGGUUCUGAUGAAGAAGAACGAUUAGAGAGGAAGAGUGAGGAAUUGAAGAAGAUUGUGGAUACAUGCAUAGCUUGCUUAUGGUCGUUUUUGGUGAGUUUGAGCGGAGCCCUGAUGUUGGGAUGGUGGGGAUAUGAAUAUCAUCCAACAAAUAGUCAGCUUUGGUUGGUACCCUUUGGUCUUAUUCUGUUUGUAACCCCACUCAUCAUUUGGUUCGCCAUUUUUGUUUCUUAUUUCUGCAAUUUUACUGGAGAUGGUUCAUCAUCAUCACUUCAUGACCCUGAAAAGAUGAUCGACCAUGUUAUUCCCACUCGCUAAUCCUAUUCAUAUUGUUUUUCAAGCUUUUCUUUCAUUCUGGGAUAAACUAUACAAGAAUUGCAGGCUUUUUCAAUAUUA